UACGUAGGGUGCGAGCGUUAAUCGGAAUUACUGGGCGUAAAGCGUGCGCAGGCGGUGCACCAAGCUCGAUGUGAAAGCCCCGGGCUUAACCUGGGAAUUGCAUUGAGGACUGGUGUGCUCGAGUGCGGCAGAGGGGGGUGGAAUUCCACGUGUAGCAGUGAAAUGCGUAGAGAUGUGGAGGAACACCGAUGGCGAAGGCGGGUCUCUGGGCCGAUACUGACGCUGAGGAGCGAAAGCGUGGGGAGCGAACAGG
This 253-nucleotide ribosomal RNA is filed under the name uncultured bacterium. RNAcentral describes it as "partial 16S ribosomal RNA". It matches the Rfam family "Bacterial small subunit ribosomal RNA", at positions 524 to 776 of the family's 1533-position model. The record is from RNAcentral.